RNAcentral lists this transfer RNA (73 nucleotides) under Cricetulus griseus (Chinese hamster). It matches the Rfam family "tRNA". Rfam says of the family: Transfer RNA (tRNA) molecules are approximately 80 nucleotides in length. Their secondary structure includes four short double-helical elements and three loops (D, anti-codon, and T loops). Lineage: Eukaryota; Metazoa; Chordata; Mammalia; Rodentia; Cricetidae. The record is from Rfam by way of RNAcentral.
GGAGAUGUGGCUCAGUGGUUAAGAGCACUGACAGCUCUCCCAGAGGACCUGGGUUCAAUUCCCAGCACCCACA